GGGCCCAUAACUCAACGGGAGAGUGCCACCUUUGCAAGGUGGAGGUUGGGGGUUCGAAUCCCCCUGGGUCCACCA
This 75-nucleotide transfer RNA is filed under the name Coriobacteriia bacterium. RNAcentral's name for it is "tRNA-Ala". It matches the Rfam family "tRNA". From Rfam's summary of the family: Transfer RNA (tRNA) molecules are approximately 80 nucleotides in length. Their secondary structure includes four short double-helical elements and three loops (D, anti-codon, and T loops). RNAcentral also lists the same sequence under 4 other names. Lineage: Bacteria; Bacillati; Actinomycetota; Coriobacteriia. The record is from RNAcentral.